AUGCACUUGGGACUGAGAUGUGCUUUCAUUCUUUUUCUCUUAAAAGGUGUCCAGAGUGAUGUGAACCUUGAAGUGUCUGGAGGAGGCUUAGUUCAUCCUGGAGGAUCGAUGCAACUCUCUUGUGCAGCCUCUGGAUUUACUUUUAUAGAUGGCUGGAUGGACUGGGUCCGCCAGUCUCCCGAGAAGGGGUUUGAGUGGGUUGCUGAAAUUGCAAAUAAAGCUAGUGAUUAUGCAACAUAUUACGCGGAGUCUGUGAAAGGCAGAUUCACCAUCUCAAGAGAUGAUUCCAAAAGUAGUGUCUACCUGCAAAUGAAAAGCUUAAGAGCUGAAGAUACUGGCAUUUAUUACUGUACAAGGCACAGUGAGAAGCCUUCAUUGUGA
Non-coding RNA from Mus pahari (shrew mouse), 381 nucleotides. Lineage: Eukaryota; Metazoa; Chordata; Mammalia; Rodentia; Muridae. The record is from the annotation of a RefSeq genome assembly.